UCUGGUUGAUCCUGCCAGUAGUCAUAUGCUUGUCUCAAAGAUUAAGCCAUGCAUGUCUAAGUAUGAAUAGUAUACAGUGAAACUGCGAAUGGCUCAUUAAAACAGUUAUAGUUUAUUUGAUAAUUGACAAUUACAUGGAUAACCGUGGUAAUUCUAGAGCUAAUACAUGCUUAAACGCCCGACUUUAUGGAAGGGUGGUAUUUAUUAGACUGAAGCCAAUAUUCCUUGUGUCUAUUGCGGUGAUUCAUAAUAACUGAUCGAAUCUCUUUUUGAGAUAAGUCAUUCAAGUUUCUGCCCUAUCAGCUUUCGAUGGUAGUGUAUUGGACUACCAUGGCAGUAACGGGUAACGAAGAAUUAGGGUUCGAUUUCGGAGAGGGAGCAUGAGAAACGGCUACCACAUCUAAGGAAGGCAGCAGGCGCGUAAAUUACCCAAUCCUGACUCAGGGAGGUAGUGACAAGAAAUAGCAAACCGGGAACCUCAUGGUUUCACGGUAUUGCAAUGAGAACAAUUUAAAACCCUUAGCGAGAAUCAAGUGGAGGACAAGUCUGGUGCCAGCACCCGCGGUAAUUCCAGCUCCACUAGCGUAUAUUAAAGUUGUUGCAGUUAAAAAGCUCGUAGUUGAACCUCUGUCUGGGGCUAGUUUUGGCUUUGGUCAGGCUAGUUCUAGGCAUCCGCCUACAAGACUUAGAGGGCAUUCAGUUGUUCACUAGGAGGAGUAGGCAUUUUACUUUGAAAAAAUUAGAGUGUUUAAGGCAGGCAAUCGCCCGCAUAUAUUAGCAUGGAAUAAUAGAAUAGGACACUUUUCCAUCUCGUUGGUUAUUGGAAUCGUGUAAUGAUUAAUAGGGACAGUUGUGGGCAUUUGUAUUUAAUUGUCAGAGGUGAAAUUCUUGGAUUUAUUAAAGACAAACUAACGCGAAAGCAUUUGCCAAGGAUGUUUUCAUUAAUCAAGAACGAAAGUUAGGGGAUCAAAGACGAUCAGAUACCGUCCUAGUCUUAACUAUAAACUAUUCCGACUCAAUGUUUGACUGGCUUAUAUAACCAGUUGAGCGUUGUAUGAGAAAUCAAAGUCUUUAGGUUCUGGGGGGAGUAUGGUUGCAAAGCUGAAACUUAAAGGAAUUGACGGAAGAGCACAACCAGGAGUGGAUUCUGCGGCUUAAUUUGACUCAACACGGGGAAACUUACCAGGUUAAAACAAUAGUGGGAU
Molecule: ribosomal RNA, 1205 nt
Filed under: metagenome
Description: SSU rRNA
Rfam family: Eukaryotic small subunit ribosomal RNA
Source: RNAcentral